GCUCGCGACGCGCGAGUCGCGACCCUGAGCCGCUGGCCGCCCCGUGUACAACCACUCCAGAAUCAUCCUCUUCCUCUUCCUCAGAUCCACUCCGGUUCCGAUUCACCCCCUUCCUCAGAUCGGCAGCGUGCACAACCACUCCAGAAUCAUCCCCAUUGGAAUUAUCCAUGAGACAGCAGGUGGUUAAUUGCGCUAAGAUUUCCAUAACAACUUCUCGUAACCCCAUCCCUCCCCUCGCUUCCUCAUUACACGUGACACGAGAGUCGAUGCAGCGGUGAGCGUUAGAAGCAACGGUGAGUUUCGGGCUCCACGGGCGAUGUCGUCAUCGUGGAACUCGGUGGGACUGAAGCUGCUCUACCAUGUCAUCGGGUGGAUCGCCUUCUUCGCCUGGUCCUUCAACUUCUACCCGCAGGUCUUGCAAAAAGGUAUGGACUACUGAAUGUUUGCUGCUCAAGGGUAUGCUUGAUUAUGGGCUUUUUGAGCAAAUUCAAUAAUUUGUGGAAAAUCUGCAUUUUAUAUGAUGGUGCAUUCCAUCACAUCAAGAUAAAUAUAAUAUUGUGGAUAAUGUCCAAUAUUAGUGCAAAAUGCGAACUCAUUUUGCAAUUGUUGAUAAUUAGCUUCAGCGUUCGCACCAUCUAUAGUACUUCUGCUUCAAAGGAUUGAGCUAGGAGGUCACAAGAGUAGUGUUGGUAAGGGUGUUUUGUUCCAACUAAGAUCUGUCUUUUCUGUUCUUAGCCUUCUUGCAUGUUUUUUUAUUGGUAUUACAAAGCUUUCAUCAAGGUCAAUGCACACGGAGGUGGCCUGGAGCGGUAUUUCUCCAUGUUAGUUUUAUCCUACUUCAGCCUAAUGGCGCACAGAAUGAACAUCAAUCCAAGCAAAGUCGAUGCAGAAGAAAAUAAAAUUAAUGAGUUAACCUCGCUAAAUUUGUCAGGAUAUUAAAAGAGUACAGUUGAUAGAAGAUUAUGUGUUAUUUCUAAUUUAUCACCACUACGAGCCCCCCUUCGGUUAAAGAUGACUUUACAUAACAACAUUGCUUGAUAAUGUGAGGUUUAAUCCUAAGAUAAUCAAUUAAUUUGAUUUAUGUGAUAGAAAGUGUUUCAUCGUCCCUUAACACAUUAUCUGCUGAAGAUUCAUUCUAUGGUUUCCAAUGGAGUGACUAUUCGAAUUUGAAUAGCAAAUGUUUUCAAUGUUUGAAUGCCACAUUCUCCAUCAAAGGUAUACAAAUAGAACCGUUGUUUUUUUAGUAAGCUGAAGCAAUGUCAAAGAUUAUGUAACUACUUUGAUGAAAAUAAAACAUUGUAUCCACUCAAUACUUCGGGUAACAAAAAGUAUGUUGAACUUUGUAUCUCUGAAACACGAGAUUUUCCAUUUAAGUUUAUUUGUGUGUCCUAUAACAACUUUCAUUAGCAUCUGAUCGUCCAUUCUAUCAGUUUGUCCUCUUGUUUGCUGAGGAGUUCAGGAGAAUGUGGGAGAAAGAGAGUAAGAUUGUUCUUCUUAAGUUGCUGACACGUCUGAGGUGAGCCCCACAUCUUUGUAUAAGCUAAUACAUGCGCUCUCGUAUCAACUUCUUUUCAUGUUUGCUGGAUAAAUCUUCAUUCAUUCAACAACUACUUAUGAACUAAUUCAAACAUAUCAUCUUACAGGAACCCUCAUGGCACCAGACAGACAACUUCAAUGCACCCUUUAUUCCAAAUUGUCUUGCUGAUUCAUGCUAAGCAACUAUGGAAAACUUCUGAUGACCUUAUUUUUUUAUUUCUUAUUCUGUUUGAUGUAUCUAUAUUUUAGAAACCUACAUCAUGAAUGUGGAUGCAAGCAAAUUGCUCAAAUAAAAAAAUAGAAAAUGCAUUAUACAAAUAAAUUUAUAAAGUUUACAAAAUAGAAAAUGUCAAAAUCGACGGGCGCAGCAACGCGCGCCAUCAAUGAUCUAGUUCAUUUUAUUUUCUCCUUUGGCAAGCAUCAUGCGGUGAGGAAAGAUCUAGGCACAUACGUCCAGUUGAAUAUAGAUAGCAUGAGUUAUUAUUGUUGACAUCACCCUCGAGGUGAGUAUGUUGGGAGGCGAAACUAUAAGCCCCUAUCUUUCUAUGUGUCCGGUUGAAAA
Long non-coding RNA from Aegilops tauschii subsp. strangulata, 2098 nucleotides. RefSeq lists it as uncharacterized. The record is from RefSeq and is a predicted model, not a curated record. Lineage: Eukaryota; Viridiplantae; Streptophyta; Magnoliopsida; Poales; Poaceae.